GGGGCUGAUUCUGGAUUCGACGGGAUUAUGAAGCCUUAGGAGCAUGCCGAGGGGCGGUUUGCCUCGUAAAAAGCCGCAAAAAAAAUAGUCGCAAACGACGACCAAUUAGCACCUGCUGCUUUCGCAGCUUAAUCAGCCUAAGAAACUGAAGGUGUCCUCUCUCCCCAGCCUCCGCUCUUAGGACGGGGAUAAAGAGAGGUCAAACCCAAAAGAGAUCGCGUGGAUAUCCUGCCUGGGGUUGAAGCGUUAAAUCCAAUCAGGCUAGUUUGUCAGUGGCGUGUCCGUCCGCAGCUGGCAGGCGAAUGUAAAGACAGGACUAAGCAUGUAGUGCCAACGGUGUAUUAAUUUCGGACGCGGGUUCAACUCCCGCCAGCUCCACCA
Molecule: transfer-messenger RNA, 381 nt
Filed under: Pantoea sp. SORGH_AS_0659
Lineage: Bacteria; Pseudomonadati; Pseudomonadota; Gammaproteobacteria; Enterobacterales; Erwiniaceae
Rfam family: transfer-messenger RNA
About the family: Bacterial tmRNA, also known as 10Sa RNA or SsrA, is named for its dual tRNA and mRNA-like properties. Its role is to liberate the mRNA from a stalled ribosome. To accomplish this part of the tmRNA is used as a reading frame that ends in a translation stop signal.
Source: RNAcentral